GAGAGUUAAACAGUACGUGAAAUUGUUGAAAGGGAAACGAUUGAAGUCAGUCAUACCAACGGGAAAUCAACCUCUUGAGUUUGGUCUCGUGGGUUUCGAAGAGUUUAAAAGCCUUCGGAUUUUCGAGAUUGGGUUCUUCUGGUGUACUUUCUCGUACGGUUAGUCAACAUCGGUUUUGAAUGUCAUAAAAUGGCUGGAGGAAUGUGGCUUCGAUCUCGUAUUGAAGUGUUAUAACCUUUGGUAGAUGUGAUGUUUGAGACCGAGGAUUGCAACGGAUACCCUUCUGGGCUAUUCGUCUGAUCUCUGAAACGUUGCCUUGAUGUCGAAAGCUUGCUUAUGAUGUUAGGGUAUUACGGUCAAAAGGUUAGAACGGAUUAAAUUCGUUAAGGAUGUUGACGUAAUGACUUUAAACGA
This 414-nucleotide ribosomal RNA is filed under the name uncultured Funneliformis. RNAcentral's name for it is "partial 28S ribosomal RNA". The record is from RNAcentral. Lineage: Eukaryota; Fungi; Glomeromycota; Glomeromycetes; Glomerales; Glomeraceae.